This 1215-nucleotide ribosomal RNA is filed under the name Candidatus Magasanikiibacteriota bacterium. RNAcentral describes it as "Candidatus Magasanikbacteria bacterium partial 23S ribosomal RNA". It matches the Rfam family "Bacterial large subunit ribosomal RNA", at positions 1959 to 2915 of the family's 2925-position model. Lineage: Bacteria; Candidatus Magasanikiibacteriota. The record is from RNAcentral.
GCGUAAUACCUUGUCGGGUAAGUUCCGACGCGCACGAAUGGCAUAACGGUCUGAUGACUGUCUUAACAAGGGACUCGGCGAAAUUGCAAUAUCCGUGAAGAUGCGGAUUACCCGUAGCUGGACGAAAAGACCCCAUGGAGCUUUACUACAACUUGGCGUUGGGUCAGCGUUUCAAAUGUUUAGAAUAGGUGGGAGUUUUACCGCAAGGUAGGACACCAGUGAAAUACCACCCUUUUGUGAUGUUGAUUCUAAUCAGUUUCCGUGAAUCCGGAAACCGAGACAGCGCCUGGCGGGUAGUUUGUCUGGGGCGGACUCCUCCCAAAAUGUAACGGAGGAGUUUACCAAGGUACGCUUAGCGCGGAUGGAAAUCGCGCCGGACGUGCAAACGCACAAGCGUGCUUUACUGCAAGACCUACAAGUCGCGCAGUCACGAAAGUGGAAGUUAGUGAUCCGACCGUACGAAAUAGGACGGCGGAAGCUCAUCGGAUAAAAGUUACCCUGGGGAUAACAGGCUAGUCUGGUCCAAGAGUCCAUAUCGACGACCAGGUUCGGCACCUCGAUGUCGGCUCGACAAGGGUCGCUAUUCGAGUAAUCGAAUAUGAAAUAACGAGCUCAUAACGGUGAAUUCCAUGAUGGUGUAUACUACCCAGACCAUAUGGAUAAUACCGUGGGAAGUCAGCAAAGAAAUAUAAAAUUGCUUGACCCCGUAACGACUGAUUCCGUAACCAAUCGGAUGAGAUAGAGAAUUUCUGAUGUAACUUGAAUAUACAUUCUUUAUCAGACGCUCGUCUCCUGAUGUCUGUCAGGAUGAAGGUAUAGUCUACACUUCAAGUAAUUGAAGAUUAUGUGCAUCGCAUCCUAGGGCUGGAGAAGGUCCUAAUGGUCCGGCUGUUCGCCGGUUAAAGCGAUACGCGAGCUGGGUUCAGAACGUCGUAAGACAGUUCGGUCUCCUAUCCGCUACGGGCAUUGAAGAGUGAGAGGGCCAUUCUCUAGUACGAGAGGACCGAGAAUGACAAACCUCUUGUGUACCAGUUGUCCCACCAGGGGCAUUGCUGGGUAGCGACGUUUGGCACGGAUAAGCGCUGAAAGCAUAUAAGCGCGAAGCCGUCCUCAAGAUUGCUCUUCGUUUGAGACUCCCGGAAGACGACCGGGUUGAUAGGCACUAGGUGUACACGUGGUAACACGUUGAGCCAAGGUGUACUAAUAAGUCGAGCG